GACGAACGCUGGCGGCGUGCUUAACACAUGCAAGUCGAACGGAAAGGCCCUGCUUUUGUGGGGUGCUCGAGUGGCGAACGGGUGAGUAACACGUGAGUAACCUGCCCUUGACUUUGGGAUAACUUCAGGAAACUGGGGCUAAUACCGGAUAGGAGCUCCUGCUGCAUGGGGGGGGUUGGAAAGUUUCGGCGGUUGGGGAUGGACUCGCGGCUUAUCAGCCUGUUGGUGGGGUAGUGGCUUACCAAGGCUUUGACGGGUAGCCGGCCUGAGAGGGUGACCGGCCACAUUGGGACUGAGAUACGGCCCAGACUCCUACGGGAGGCAGCAGUGGGGAAUAUUGCACAAUGGGCGGAAGCCUGAUGCAGCAACGCCGCGUGCGGGAUGACGGCCUUCGGGUUGUAAACCGCUUUCGCCGGUGACGAAGCGUGAGUGACGGUAAUGGGUAAAGAAGCACCGGCUAACUACGUG
RNAcentral lists this ribosomal RNA (468 nucleotides) under uncultured bacterium. RNAcentral's name for it is "partial 16S ribosomal RNA". It matches the Rfam family "Bacterial small subunit ribosomal RNA", at positions 28 to 507 of the family's 1533-position model. The record is from RNAcentral.